Molecule: unclassified non-coding RNA, 337 nt
Filed under: soil metagenome
Description: partial contains 5.8S ribosomal RNA, internal transcribed spacer 2, and large subunit ribosomal RNA
Rfam family: 5.8S ribosomal RNA (bases 1-120)
Source: RNAcentral
GAUGAAGAACGUAGCGAAAUGCGAUAAGUAGUGCGAAUUGCAGAAUUCAGUGAAUCAUCGAAUCUUUGAACGCACAUUGCGCCCCUUGGUAUUCCAUGGGGCAUGCCUGUUCGAGCGUCAUUUGUACCUUCAAGCUCUGCUUGGUGUUGGGUGUUUGUCUCGCCUCUGCGUGUAGACUCGCCUCAAAACAAUUGGCAGCCGGCGUAUUGAUUUCGGAGCGCAGUACAUCUCGCGCUUUGCACUCAUAACGACGACGUCCAAAAGUACAUUUUUACACUCUUGACCUCGGAUCAGGUAGGGAUACCCGCUGAACUUAAGCAUAUCAAUAAGCGGAGGA